Molecule: unclassified non-coding RNA, 183 nt
Filed under: uncultured Cladophialophora
Lineage: Eukaryota; Fungi; Ascomycota; Eurotiomycetes; Chaetothyriales; Herpotrichiellaceae
Description: sequence contains ITS2
Source: RNAcentral
UCACCCUUCAAGCCCUGCGCUUGGUGUUGGACGGCUUGGUCGCAUAUCUCGUUCGACCCCUCCCAAAGACAAUGACGGCGGCCCGCGGUUCCCCCGGUACACUGAGCUUUUUAACUGAGCACGUAUCGGACAAGGGCGCCCGGGUCACGGUCCUCUCCCGUAACGGGAAACACUUUUAACUAA